UACGGAGGGGACUAGCGUUGUUCGGAAUUACUGGGCGUAAAGCGCACGUAGGCGGAUUUGUAAGUCAGGGGUGAAAUCCCGGGGCUCAACCUCGGAACUGCCUUUGAUACUGCAAAUCUCGAGUCCGGAGGAGGUGAGUGGAAUUCCUAGUGUAGAGGUGAAAUUCGUAGAUAUUAGGAAGAACACCAGUGGCGAAGGCGGCUCACUGGUCCGGUACUGGCGCUGGGGCGCGAAAGCGUGGGGAGCAAACAGG
RNAcentral lists this ribosomal RNA (253 nucleotides) under uncultured bacterium. RNAcentral's name for it is "partial 16S ribosomal RNA". It matches the Rfam family "Bacterial small subunit ribosomal RNA", at positions 524 to 776 of the family's 1533-position model. The record is from RNAcentral.